UCUUUAUUUUAAAAAUUUUUAUUAUUUGAGUAGUUGUGAAUGGUUGGUUUAUAGAAAGUAAUAAUUAGGUAUAUGUUAGAAUGUUUGAAACUUAAAAGGCUUGGCGGUGUUAUAUAUCCUUCCAGGGGAGCUUGUUUAUUGAUUUGAUAAUCCUCAAUUUAUACUUACUUUUUUUUGAAUAAUUGAAUCAGUUUGUAUAUUGCUGUCGUCAGUUUAUUUUGUAAAAAUUUUAUAAUAAACUUAAUAAUGAAUUGGUUAUGAUGUCAAGUCAAAAUGCAGCUUAUAAAAAAGGUUUAUAAAGUGAGCUACAAUUUAUAAUUUUUAAAUCGGAUUGAAUUAUGUAAUUUGGUUUAUGAAGGUGGACUUGGUAGUAAUAUUAUAGUAGUGAGUUUUUAUGAAUUAGGUUUUAUAACGCGU
This 417-nucleotide ribosomal RNA is filed under the name Rossia bipillata. RNAcentral's name for it is "partial 12S ribosomal RNA". Lineage: Eukaryota; Metazoa; Mollusca; Cephalopoda; Sepiida; Sepiolidae. The record is from RNAcentral.